RNAcentral lists this ribosomal RNA (215 nucleotides) under uncultured bacterium. Its description in RNAcentral is "partial 16S ribosomal RNA". It matches the Rfam family "Bacterial small subunit ribosomal RNA", at positions 1285 to 1500 of the family's 1533-position model. The record is from RNAcentral.
AUCCCAGUUCGGAUCGCAGGCUGCAACCCGCCUGCGUGAAGUUGGAAUCGCUAGUAAUCGCGGAUCAGCAUGCCGCGGUGAAUACGUUCCCGGGCCUUGUACACACCGCCCGUCACACCAUGAGAAUCGGGAACACCCGAAGUCCGUAGUCUAACCGCAAGGGGACGCGGCCGAAGGUGGGUUCGAUAAUUGGGGUGAAGUCGUAACAAGGUAAC